RNAcentral lists this ribosomal RNA (712 nucleotides) under uncultured bacterium. RNAcentral's name for it is "bacterial SSU rRNA". It matches the Rfam family "Bacterial small subunit ribosomal RNA", at positions 50 to 771 of the family's 1533-position model. The record is from RNAcentral.
CAGUCGAGCGAAGCAGUUAAGUUGAUUUCUUCGGAUUGAUUCUUAAUUGACCGUUAGGCGGACGGGUGAGUAACGCGUGGGUGACCUGCCCCAUACCGGGGGAUAACAGCUGGAAACGGCUGCUAAUACCGCAUAAGCGCACAGAGCUGCAUGGCUCAGUGUGAAAAACUCCGGUGGUAUGGGAUGGGCCCGCGUCUGAUUAGGCAGUUGGCGGGGUAAUGGCCCACCAAGGCGACGAUUGGUAGCCGGACUGAGAGGUUGAACGGCCACAUUGGGACUGAGACACGGCCCAGACUCCUACGGGAGGCAGCAGUGGGGGAUAUUGCACAAUGGGGGAAACCCUGAUGCAGCGACGCCGCGUGAGCGAAGAAGUAUUUCGGUAUGUAAAGCUCUAUCAGCAGGGAAGAAAAUGACGGUACCUGACUAAGAAGCCCCGGCUAACUACGUGCCAGCAGCCGCGGUAAUACGUAGGGGGCAAGCGUUAUCCGGAUUUACUGGGUGUAAAGGGAGCGUAGACGGCACGGCAAGCCAGAUGUGAAAGCCCGGGGCUCAACCCCGGGACUGCAUUUGGAACUGCUGAGCUAGAGUGUCGGAGAGGCAAGUGGAAUUCUUAGUGUAGCGGUGAAAUGCGUAGAUAUUAGGAGGAACACCAGUAGCGAAGGCGGCUUACUGGACGGUAACUGACGUUGAGGCUCGAAAGCGUGGGGAGCAA